This is a long non-coding RNA of Lycium ferocissimum, 171 nucleotides long. RefSeq lists it as uncharacterized. The transcript is spliced from 2 exons. Lineage: Eukaryota; Viridiplantae; Streptophyta; Magnoliopsida; Solanales; Solanaceae. The record is from RefSeq and is a predicted model, not a curated record.
UGCCCGGAUGUUCUUUUUCUUACUUACUUGUCUUACUCUUAUUUCGAGACAAUUGUAUUAUGAGACUUUUUCAUCUUCAGACUUGUAGUAUUUAGUUAUUAGUGCUCUUGUAUGACCAAACUAGAUACUGGGGUGGUUUAUGAUUACUUCCGCAUUUAUUAUAUAUUCAAA